This 253-nucleotide ribosomal RNA is filed under the name uncultured bacterium. RNAcentral describes it as "partial 16S ribosomal RNA". It matches the Rfam family "Bacterial small subunit ribosomal RNA", at positions 524 to 776 of the family's 1533-position model. The record is from RNAcentral.
UACGUAGGGCGCAAGCGUUGUCCGGAAUUAUUGGGCGUAAAGAGCUCGUAGGUGGCUUGUUGCGUCUGCCGUGAAAGCCCGUGGCUUAACUGCGGGUCUGCGGUGGAUACGGGCAGGCUAGAGGCUGGUAGGGGCAAGCGGAAUUCCUGGUGUAGCGGUGAAAUGCGCAGAUAUCAGGAGGAACACCGGUGGCGAGGGCGGCUUGCUGGGCCAGUUCUGACGCUGAGAAGCGAAAGCAUGGGGAGCGAACAGG